Long non-coding RNA from Sinocyclocheilus rhinocerous, 322 nucleotides. RefSeq lists it as uncharacterized. The transcript has 3 exons. The record is from RefSeq and is a predicted model, not a curated record. Lineage: Eukaryota; Metazoa; Chordata; Actinopteri; Cypriniformes; Cyprinidae.
GUUGCACAUUUCCACUGCUCCUAGAAUGAGCAAAUCAGCUGUGCCAUCAUCUUUGGAAUUUGGGCAGAAAAUGACUGAAUAUGGAAGAUGAAGCCAGUUGAUGAAGAUAUCAAUUCAGUGGCUACCAAGGGCUGCACUGCUGCCUGAACCCAUCAGUUAUCAGCUGUGAAGACUGCAUUCGCAAACAGCUCUACUGUGACAGCUCAGAUGUUACAGCCCAUAAAAGUAAACUUCAGAACUGAACAACUGCAAGAUAGUUGUGGAGGGAUUCUUUUGGCCCAUACCUCCAACAACCUCCCAACAAGAAUCAAUGGUAAGUCAA